UACUUAGGAAUCUACCUAGUAGUGGGGGAUAGCUCGGGGAAACUCGAAUUAAUACCGCAUACGUCCUACGGGAGAAAGCAGGGGAUCNNNNNNCCUUGCGCUAUUAGAUGAGCCUAAGUCGGAUUAGCUAGAUGGUGGGGUAAAGGCCUACCAUGGCGACGAUCUGUAGCUGGUCUGAGAGGAUGAUCAGCCACACCGGGACUGAGACACGGCCCGGACUCCUACGGGAGGCAGCAGUGGGGAAUAUUGGACAAUGGGGGGAACCCUGAUCCAGCCAUGCCGCGUGUGUGAAGAAGGCCUUUUGGUUGUAAAGCACUUUAAGCAGUGAAGAAGACUCUUCGGUUAAUACCCGGGGACGAUGACAUUAGCUGCAGAAUAAGCACCGGCUAACUCUGUGCCAGCAGCCGCGGUAAUACAGAGGGUGCAAGCGUUAAUCGGAAUUACUGNNCGUAAAGCGAGCGUAGGUGGCUUGAUAAGUCANAUGUGAAAUCCCCGGGCUUANCCUGGGGAACUGCAUCUGAAACUGUUAGGCUAGAGU
RNAcentral lists this ribosomal RNA (538 nucleotides) under Psychrobacter sp. HR04-32. RNAcentral's name for it is "bacterial SSU rRNA". It matches the Rfam family "Bacterial small subunit ribosomal RNA", at positions 114 to 647 of the family's 1533-position model. The record is from RNAcentral. Lineage: Bacteria; Pseudomonadati; Pseudomonadota; Gammaproteobacteria; Moraxellales; Moraxellaceae.